GAUGAACGCUGGCGGCGUGCCUAAUACAUGCAAGUCGAGCGAACAGACGAGGAGCUUGCUCCUCUGACGUUAGCGGCGGACGGGUGAGUAACAUGUGGAUAACCUACCUAUAAGACUGGGAUAACUUCGGGAAACCGGAGCUAAUACCGGAUAACAUGUUGAACCGCAUGGUUCAACAGUGAAAGACGGUCUUGCUGUCACUUAUAGAUGGAUCCGCGCCGCAUUAGCUAGUUGGUAAGGUAACGGCCUACCAAGGCAACGAUGCGUAGCCGACCUAAGAGGGUGAUCGGCCACACUGGAACUGAGACACGGUCCAGACUCCUACGGGAGGCAGCAGUAGGGAAUCGUCCGCAAUGGGCGAAAGCCUGACGGAGCAACGCCGCGUGAGUGAAGAAGGUCUUCGGAUCGUAAAACUCUGUUAUUAGGGAAGAACAAAUGUGUAAGUAACUAUGCACGUCUUGACGGUACCUAAUCAGAAAGCCACGGCUAACUACGUGCCAGCAGCCGCCGUAA
Molecule: ribosomal RNA, 513 nt
Filed under: uncultured bacterium
Lineage: Bacteria
Description: partial 16S ribosomal RNA
Rfam family: Bacterial small subunit ribosomal RNA
Source: RNAcentral